Molecule: ribosomal RNA, 329 nt
Filed under: uncultured eukaryote
Lineage: Eukaryota
Description: partial 18S ribosomal RNA
Rfam family: Eukaryotic small subunit ribosomal RNA
Source: RNAcentral
CCCUUAGAUGUUCUGGGCCGCACGCGCGCUACACUGACGGAGGCAGCGAGCGUGUCCUUCGCCGGCAGGUGUGGGCAAUCUUGCGAGUCUCCGUCGUGCUGGGGAUAGAUGGUUGCAAUUGUCGAUCUUGAACGAGGAAUUCCUAGUAAGCGCGAGUCAUCAGCUCGCGCUGAUUACGUCCCUGCCCUUUGUACACACCGCCCGUCGCUACUACAGAGUGCCCGUGUCCAAGAAACGGUCGGACCUGUGCGGCCUCUCCGGGCGACCGGAGGGCCGUUACGGGGAAGACCCUUUAUUUGACGCGGGUCGAUGAAGUAAAAGUCGUAACA